UCGCCUGUUUAUCAAAAACAUGUCUUCUUGAAUAAAAUUUGAAGUCUGACCUGCCCACUGAAUUUAAUAUUUGAAGGGCCGCGGUAUUUUGACCGUGCAAAGGUAGCAUAAUCAUUAGUCUUUUAAUUGAAGGCUAGAAUGAAUGGUUGGACGAGGUAUUGACUGUCUCGGUGUGAUUGAGAAUAGAAUUUAACUUUUAAGUUAAAAGGCUUAACUGUUUUUAGAGGACGAGAAGACCCUAUAGAGCUUUAUAUUUUAAUAGUAUUAUUUAUUUAGGUAAAUUUUUAUAAUAAUUGGAAAAGUAUUUUGUUGGGGUGACAGGAAGAUAUAUAAAACUCUUUUUAGCUUAUUACAUUGAUGUAUGAAUUAUUGAUCCAUUAAUAUUGAUUAUAAGACUAAGUUACCUUAGGGAUAACAGCGUAAUCUUUUUCGAGAGUUCUUAUCGACAAAAAGGGUUGCGACCUCGAUGUUGGAUUAAGGGUAAUUUUGGGUGUAGAUGUUCAAAGUUUAGGUCUGUUCGACCUUUAAAUCCUUACAUGAUCUGAGUUCAAACCGGAGA
RNAcentral lists this ribosomal RNA (559 nucleotides) under Soyedina producta. Its description in RNAcentral is "partial 16S ribosomal RNA". It matches the Rfam family "Bacterial large subunit ribosomal RNA", at positions 1796 to 2622 of the family's 2925-position model. Lineage: Eukaryota; Metazoa; Arthropoda; Insecta; Plecoptera; Nemouridae. The record is from RNAcentral.